UUUGGUGGCGAUAGCGAAGAGGUCACACCCGUUCCCAUACCGAACACGGAAGUUAAGCUCUUCAGCGCCGAUGGUAGUUGGGGGUUUCCCCCUGUGAGAGU
Molecule: ribosomal RNA, 101 nt
Filed under: Enterobacter cloacae
Lineage: Bacteria; Pseudomonadati; Pseudomonadota; Gammaproteobacteria; Enterobacterales; Enterobacteriaceae
Also listed under: 1 other name
Source: RNAcentral